Regulatory RNA element from Hymenobacter sp. CRA2, 92 nucleotides. It matches the Rfam family "SAM riboswitch aptamer (S box leader)". Rfam says of the family: The SAM riboswitch is found upstream of a number of genes which code for proteins involved in methionine or cysteine biosynthesis in Gram-positive bacteria. The record is from Rfam. NCBI's taxonomy places the organism in Bacteria, Pseudomonadati, Bacteroidota, Cytophagia, Cytophagales, Hymenobacteraceae.
UUUUUAUACAGAGGCGCGGAGAGACAGGCUCUGCGAAGCGCCGGCAACCUCGGGAAAGUCCCGAACGGUGCCAAUUCCUGACCAUAUAAAAA